UACGUAGGGUGCAAGCGUUGUCCGGAAUUAUUGGGCGUAAAGAGCUCGUAGGCGGUUUGUCGCGUCGAAUGUGAAAACCCGGGGCUCAACCCCGGGCCUGCAUUCGAUACGGGCAGACUAGAGUUCGGUAGGGGAGUCUGGAAUUCCUGGUGUAGCGGUGAAAUGCGCAGAUAUCAGGAGGAACACCGGUGGCGAAGGCGGGACUCUGGGCCGAUACUGACGCUGAGAGACGAAAGCUAGGGGAGCGAAUGGG
This 253-nucleotide ribosomal RNA is filed under the name uncultured bacterium. RNAcentral describes it as "partial 16S ribosomal RNA". It matches the Rfam family "Bacterial small subunit ribosomal RNA", at positions 524 to 776 of the family's 1533-position model. The record is from RNAcentral.